RNAcentral lists this long non-coding RNA (3358 nucleotides) under Selaginella moellendorffii. RNAcentral's name for it is "long non-coding RNA (SMOE_LNC000277)". The record is from RNAcentral. Lineage: Eukaryota; Viridiplantae; Streptophyta; Lycopodiopsida; Selaginellales; Selaginellaceae.
CUAACUGUUCCAAGAACAUAUACUAUCGCCAAAGCCAUUGUUUUGGCCGCGCCAGUUUGAGACAGGUGGGAAACUUGGAAGACGGAGUUUGGAAAGGAGAUAGAUGCUCGCGAUAUUGUCAUCUGAGACAAUGAGGCACCAGUGACCACGGUAAUCAUCUAAAGCUUGCAUCUUACUGAGAGCUCACAAAAGUUUAUUUAUUUAUUUAUUUUACAUUUCACAGAAAUACACAAAGCAUAUUGCCAUGAAACGGAGUUUUCGGUUGAUGCUCGUGGAGUCGUAAGAAACCUGCUUGAGGUUGCAAAGGGAUCUGGUACGUAGUAAAUUCUAGACUCGGUGGAUAUGUAUGGUUUUAUGGAAUGAUAGUCGAUAGUCAUAAUGUUUUUGUUUUUCCUUAAAUCUUCGAUCCUUGCAGACACUGGAAAUGAACGAAAGCUGAUGGCUUCCAUGGGAAAAGGAAACAAAUGGGGAGUGCUCAGCUUCUUUUUCCCGUGAAAAGCCUUGUUAUUUGCAAGAAGAAAAGUGGUAAGCGGUCCCUUAUGUGGCUGAUAAAUUCCCUGCCACCACUGGAUUGAAUUUCCAGGCCUGCUGCGUACCAAAUGCUUGGUUUGCAGAUGCCGGGCGAAGCACGAGAGGAUGAUACCACGCACUGUUCUGAUACUGAUUGUCGUUCUGCAGAGCCCACUGCAAGUUGGUUCCAUCCAGAUUGAUCGCGAGAUAGUCCGUUUUUGAAGCCUGGAAUCGGUUCUCAGACCACACGAAACCGUAGUCGAGAGGAUCAUAUUGAGUCAAGAGCACCUGCCAUGAUCAUCCAAUUCGUUUAGUUUGCGAACUUCUUCAAGUUUUCAACAGUGUGCACUAGUUACCUUGUCUCCCGGCUUGGUUGACCCCUUGAGAGCAAGACCAGUCACCUUGUUUAUGAGAACGAACGAGGUGAAGUACGUGGUAUCAUCUCUUCCUCCAGCGGGAACCUUGUACCAUGUCUAUAUGUAAUAAAAUAGAAUGAGAUAUGAUUACAAAGAACGACAAAAAGUACAAACCAUGCCGUCGAGAGGAACGUUGCUUGGAUGAAUAGCCACCACGUUUGUCUCAUCGUUGUGCUUGACUGCAUUCUUGAAAGUUACAUCCACAUUUUGCUGCUUCCAAGUCAAGUAUUGCUCAUACCAGUCGCAUAUAAUCCUGUACUCUUGAGAAGGCUCUGUGCAGCAUCAUCAUAUGAACCACAACCGAGAAGAACAAAUCAUAUGCUUACCGUAAGUGACGAGCUUCCAGUGGGAGUUUCCAUCGCUGUUGGAUGUCACCACUGGCACCCCAUCCUUGAAGCUAGCACUUGAGGAAGUGUGGCUCAGAAAAAAUGACUUGUUUCCAGUCAUGGUGAUCAAGACUUGAUUUUCGUGGCUCCCGGAAAUACGCCACAGGAGAUAAUCGUCUUGGACUGCCGGAUCAUAGUCUCCAAUAGUAGCCUUUUGCCAUCAAAAUUCCAUAUGAUCAGCAACAGUGUAUAGUAUGAAUACUGUUUUCUGUUUACCUUGCUUCGAGACGUUGAGUGUGCCUGGGACCGGAGAGCUUUCUUAGAGCCGUGGUUUACAAACACGAACGCGGAGUCCUGGUUCAGCAAGUUCCAUGACUCAUCCCUGUACCACAGCUGCACAAGAGUUUCCCAUGAUGAUCGACAACCGGCAAAGUUUCCAAAGAUUUUACCUGGAAGGGGUUGAGCGCGUCCUUGGACCUGAGAACAAUCUGGGUGCCUUGCUGAGUAAUGCAAUAGCCAGGAUAAGCAGCGGACUCGAUGGUGUAGAACUUUGGAGCUGCUGUGAGAGCCAUGUCUCUAAACUCUUAAGAAAAGACUAAAGCUUUUGAGAAGCCAAAGGGAUGAGUGUGAAGUUAUAGAGCUCUUUGAACGUAUGCCAAUUUAUAUAGUGGCAAGCUUCUCUCGCAUUAUCCCAUGUGUUUCACACUGUCUUCCACUUCCUUACGCUUCUUACACUGACUUUGUGCCUGCCAUAUCCCAUGUGUUUUUUGUGCCUGGUAGCGUUGGUUGAAAGGUUGAGUUAUAAGCAAGCUUAUCCAUGGUGUAAUAAAAAAUGUUUUAAAAUUAUUUUUAAUGAAUAUAUUAGUGAUAUAAUAUCUAACAAAUAUUAAAUUUAUUUAUUGAUAAGGGUAAAGUCACAAAAAGAUGAAAAUUAAUAAAUGUAAGUUAAUAAUAUAAAAACUUAGAAAUCAUUAUUUUAGGCGUCGCAACGCUUGUUUUGUUAGAAGAAAUUAUUUGGCGAAGGAGGCAACCACGAGUGAACUGGUGACCUAUCGGACUGCAGCCGAUUGCUCUACCUCCAUUAACAUGUUAAUUAACUGAGUCUUCUUUAAUCUGACAGCUGAGCGAGCUAGGUUUACAGGGACGAGCGCGCUUGAUCAGUGCGUAGGAGAAAAUGGCAUGGAAGCAGCCGCCCAAGCAGCAGCGACGGCAGCGACCCUUGCUACUGUCGCUCCCACUCGCGAUUGCGGCGCUGGUGUCCAAUUUUCUCGAUCUUAUAUGUUCUUUCCUUUGUUUUCUUCGUUGGAGAGUAGUGAUACUUCAAUGCUUUCUUUUUACAGGAAAGAAAUGGGCUUGGAUUGACUGCAACCGUGAAGGAUGCUUGCAAGAUCGUGCUGAAAUAUCCGGAGGGAACAAAUAGUACCUGGGUAAGCAACUAGAAAUAGUUUUGCGUGAUCGAAGCUUACAAGUUUACUCGGUACAGCGUAAUGAGCAGUUCAAAAUCUACGAGCCACUGGAAUAUGAAUUUGACGUCUGCGAGACGCUGCUCCUGUGGGAACAGGUACUUUGCUGCAAGUUUUGCUCUUGAUUCAAAUAACACUUUUGAGUUUGCAGUAUCGAAACGUCACAACGAUAUUGACUCGCGAGUAUUUGGAUGCACGUCCCGAUGGCUGGAUGGACUACGCUGCAAAACGAAUAGCUCAACUGUAAGCUAAGCUUGAUGUUGAUGGAAGUUUUUAAUCUAGUUGUGCAGGGGUGCAGCUAACUGUUCCAACCGAAGCCUGUGCGAAGAACAUCUCGAGUUGAUACUACCGCCAAAGCCACCGUUUUGGCCGCGCCAGUUUAGGACGUGUGCGGUGGUGGGAAACUCGGGCGACCUUUUAAAGACGGAGUUUGGAAAGGAGAUAGAUGCUCACGAUAUUGUCAUCCGAGACAAUGAGGCACCAGUGACCACGGUAAUCACCUCACAAAGGUUGCGUACUACUGAGCUCGCAAAAGUUGCUUUCAUUUCACAGAAAUACGCAAAGCAUGUUGGCAUGAAACGGAGUUUUCGAUUGAUGGCUCGUGGAGUAGUAAGAAACCUGCUUGAGGUUGCAAAGGGAUCUG